This is a long non-coding RNA of Actinia tenebrosa (Australian red waratah sea anemone), 418 nucleotides long. The record is from RefSeq and is a predicted model, not a curated record. Lineage: Eukaryota; Metazoa; Cnidaria; Anthozoa; Actiniaria; Actiniidae.
AGUUUUCUUAGAAGAUCGCGAGCUUCGCGGACUGGCAAGGUUGUUUUUAGCAUGGAUGACUUCAUUAUGGCAACUCUCUGCAUUUGAAGACAUGUCACUACCCAGCCUGCAACAGGAGCAAAAUUAAUCCAACCAAUCAGUAAACUACUUCGAACACCUAUGUUGAUUGUUGUAGACUAAGUGUUAUCCCACACAUUGAAGAUACAGCCAAUCAAAAUGCAUGAAGACCGAUGUGCAUGUGAUGGUUUUUCAAUGCUGUGAUAGAAAAUAGUUAUUCAAUGCUUCCUCGUGAUACACCAUGGAAUAUCCCACUUCUCAAUUAUAUAUCUUUAGCAAACAGCACGAUCCCCUAAAGGCUUGUGCAAGAAGCCAUGGUAUGCCACUCAAAAUAUUAUUAUUAAAUAUUAUUAUUAUUCUA